Molecule: long non-coding RNA, 448 nt
Organism: Malaclemys terrapin pileata
Lineage: Eukaryota; Metazoa; Chordata; Testudines; Emydidae
Exons: 2
Source: RefSeq, a predicted model, not a curated record
UUCCAGCCUCCUCCCGGAGCUGCGCAGGGCAGGCAGGCAGGGAGCCUGCCCUGCUCCCGGUGCACGUCCAGCUGCUGCUCUGGUGACUCCCAAGCAGUUUCCACGGAGGAGGGGUCAGAGUUCUCUGAGCUGCAGACUGAAGUACUGCCCUGCCGAAGGCCGCAUCGUCUCUCACCUGCUGAGUGAUGGCAUAGUGCGACAUGAAGGUGUGGGUGGAAGACCAUGUUGCUGCCUUGCAUAUGUCCUGAAUAGGGACUUGCACAAGGAAUGCGGCGGAAGAAGCCUGUGCUCUUGCGGAGUGCACCGUUAAUGCUGGGGCUAGAAUCUUAACCAGGUCAUAGCACGUUCUGAUGCAGGACGUGCUCCACAAUGAAAUGUGCUGAAAUGAGAUGGGAAGCCCUUUCAUCCUUUCAGCGAUUGCAAUAAAGAGCUGUGGUGACUUACGAAA